This 252-nucleotide ribosomal RNA is filed under the name Kandleria vitulina DSM 20405. RNAcentral's name for it is "partial 16S ribosomal RNA". It matches the Rfam family "Bacterial small subunit ribosomal RNA", at positions 524 to 776 of the family's 1533-position model. Lineage: Bacteria; Bacillati; Bacillota; Erysipelotrichia; Erysipelotrichales; Coprobacillaceae. The record is from RNAcentral.
UACGUAGGUGGCGAGCGUUAUCCGGAAUCAUUGGGCGUAAAGAGGGAGCAGGCGGCCGCAAGGGUCUGUGGUGAAAGACCGAAGCUAAACUUCGGUAAGCCAUAGAAACCGGGCGGCUAGAGUGCGGAAGAGGAUCGUGGAAUUCCAUGUGUAGCGGUGAAAUGCGUAGAUAUAUGGAGGAACACCAGUGGCGAAGGCGACGGUCUGGGCCGCAACUGACGCUCAUUCCCGAAAGCGUGGGGAGCAAAUAGG